RNAcentral lists this transfer RNA (71 nucleotides) under CrAss-like virus sp. ctt4r3. Its description in RNAcentral is "tRNA-Gln". It matches the Rfam family "tRNA". From Rfam's summary of the family: Transfer RNA (tRNA) molecules are approximately 80 nucleotides in length. Their secondary structure includes four short double-helical elements and three loops (D, anti-codon, and T loops). Lineage: Duplodnaviria; Heunggongvirae; Uroviricota; Caudoviricetes; Crassvirales. The record is from RNAcentral.
UGAGGUAUAGUAUAAUGGUAAUACGUCAGAUUUUGGUUCUGAAAUUCAAGGUUCGAAUCCUUGUACCUCAA